AUUGAACGCUGGCGGCAGGCCUAACACAUGCAAGUCGAGCGGAUGAAGGGAGCUUGCUCCUGGAUUCAGCGGCGGACGGGUGAGUAAUGCCUAGGAAUCUGCCUGGUAGUGGGGGAUAACGUCCGGAAACGGGCGCUAAUACCGCAUACGUCCUGAGGGAGAAAGUGGGGGAUCUUCGGACCUCACGCUGUCAGAUGAGCCUAGGUCGGAUUAGCUAGUUGGUGGGGUAAAGGCCUACCAAGGCGACGAUCCGUAACUGGUCUGAGAGGAUGAUCAGUCACACUGGAACUGAGACACGGUCCAGACUCCUACGGGAGGCAGCAGUGGGGAAUAUUGGACAAAGGGCGAAAGCCUGAUCCAGCCAUGCCGCGUGUGUGAAGAAGGUCUUCGGAUUGUAAAGCACUUUAAGUUGGGAGGAAGGGCAGUAAGUUAAUACCUUGCUGUUUUGACGUUACCAACAGAAUAAGCACCGGCUAACUUCGUG
Molecule: ribosomal RNA, 484 nt
Filed under: uncultured bacterium
Lineage: Bacteria
Description: partial 16S ribosomal RNA
Rfam family: Bacterial small subunit ribosomal RNA
Source: RNAcentral